GGGGAUUUGGCUCAGUGGUAGAGCGCUUGCCUAGCAAGCACAAGGCCCUGGGUUCGCUUCCCAGCUCCCA
RNAcentral lists this transfer RNA (70 nucleotides) under Rattus norvegicus (Norway rat). It matches the Rfam family "tRNA". Rfam says of the family: Transfer RNA (tRNA) molecules are approximately 80 nucleotides in length. Their secondary structure includes four short double-helical elements and three loops (D, anti-codon, and T loops). Further hydrogen bonds mediate the characteristic L-shaped molecular structure. tRNAs have two regions of fundamental functional importance: the anti-codon, which is responsible for specific mRNA codon recognition, and the 3' end, to which the tRNAs corresponding amino acid is attached (by aminoacyl-tRNA synthetases). tRNAs cope with the degeneracy of the genetic code in two manners: having more than one tRNA (with a specific anti-codon) for a particular amino acid; and 'wobble' base-pairing, i.e. permitting non-standard base-pairing at the 3rd anti-codon position. The record is from Rfam by way of RNAcentral. Lineage: Eukaryota; Metazoa; Chordata; Mammalia; Rodentia; Muridae.